AUUGAACGCUGGCGGCAGGCCUAACACAUGCACGUCGAACGGCAGCACAGAAGAGCUUGCUCUUUGGGUGGCGAGUGGCGGACGGGUGAGUAAUGUCUGGGAAACUGCCCGAUGGAGGGGGAUAACUACUGGAAACGGUAGCUAAUACCGCAUAACGUCGCAAGACCAAAGUGGGGGACCUUCGGGCCUCACACCAUCGGAUGUGCCCAGAUGGGAUUAGCUAGUAGGUGGGGUAAUGGCUCACCUAGGCGACGAUCCCUAGCUGGUCUGAGGGUAUGACCCACCACACUGGAACUAAGACACGGUCCAGACUCCUACGGGAGGCAGCAGUGGGGAAUAUUGCACAAUGGGCGCAAGCCUGAUGCAGCCAUGCCGCGUGUAUGAAGAAGGCCUUCGGGUUGUAAAGUACUUUCAGCGGGGAGGAAGGCGGUGAGGUCAAUAACCUCGCCGAUUGACGUUACCCGCGUAAGAAGCACCGGCUAACUCCGUGCCAGCAGCCGCGGUAA
This 506-nucleotide ribosomal RNA is filed under the name uncultured bacterium. RNAcentral's name for it is "partial 16S ribosomal RNA". It matches the Rfam family "Bacterial small subunit ribosomal RNA", at positions 30 to 523 of the family's 1533-position model. The record is from RNAcentral.